AUUGAACGCUAGCGGGAUGCUUUACACAUGCAAGUCGAACGGCAGCGCGGACUUCGGUCUGGCGGCGAGUGGCGAACGGGUGAGUAAUGUAUCGGAACGUGCCCAGUAGCGGGGGAUAACUACGCGAAAGCGUAGCUAAUACCGCAUACGCCCUACGGGGGAAGGCAGGGGAUCGUAAGGCCUUGCACUAUUGGAGCGGCCGAUAUCGGAUUAGCUAGUUGGUGAGGUAACGGCUCACCAAGGCGACGAUCCGUAGCUGGUUUGAGAGGACGACCAGCCACACUGGGACUGAGACACGGCCCAGACUCCUACGGGAGGCAGCAGUGGGGAAUUUUGGACAAUGGGGGCAACCCUGAUCCAGCCAUCCCGCGUGUGCGAUGAAGGCCUUCGGGUUGUAAAGCACUUUUGGCAGGAAAGAAACGUCGCGGGCUAAUACCCCGUGGAACUGACGGUACCUGCAGAAUAAGCACCGGCUAACUACGUG
Molecule: ribosomal RNA, 484 nt
Filed under: uncultured bacterium
Lineage: Bacteria
Description: partial 16S ribosomal RNA
Rfam family: Bacterial small subunit ribosomal RNA
Source: RNAcentral